This 230-nucleotide long non-coding RNA is filed under the name Elaeis guineensis (African oil palm). RNAcentral describes it as "long non-coding RNA (EGUI_LNC018833)". The record is from RNAcentral. Lineage: Eukaryota; Viridiplantae; Streptophyta; Magnoliopsida; Arecales; Arecaceae.
CCCAUUGCGUCGGAUAUCUUUUGUAUCUCUUCAGCCAAUUGUACCUUUUCGGUGUCGUGUGCUACAAUUCCUAGCCAAAUUUUUUGUUGAAGUCUAUUGACUUCUUUCUCAGCCUCAUCAAGUUUCUUGUGAGCCUUUUGAAGUCUCUCUUCCCGAUCGACAGCCUCUCCUUUGAAAAAUUUAAGUUUCUCCUCUAGGCUCUUGAUAUGAGCUUUAAUAUUAACCACCAU